CCUACGGGUGGCAGCAGUGGGGAAUAUUGGACAAUGGGGGCAACCCUGAUCCAGCCAUGCCGCGUGUGUGAAGAAGGCCCUCGGGUUGUAAAGCACUUUCAGUGAGGAAGAACGCCUGGUGGUUAAUACCCAUCAGGAAAGACAUCACUCACAGAAGAAGCACCGGCUAACUCCGUGCCAGCAGCCGCGGUAAUACGGAGGGUGCGAGCGUUAAUCGGAAUUACUGGGCGUAUAGCGCGCGUAGGUGGCUUGAUAAGCCGGUUGUGAAAGCCCCGGGCUCAACCUGGGAACGGCAUCCGGAACUGUCAAGCUAGAGUGCAGGAGAGGAAGGUAGAAUUCCCGGUGUAGCGGUGAAAUGCGUAGAGAUCGGGAGGAAUACCAGUGGCGAAGGCGGCCUUCUGGACUGACACUGACACUGAGGUGCGAAAGCGUGGGUAGCAAACAGGAUUAGAUACCCGUGUAGUC
Molecule: ribosomal RNA, 465 nt
Filed under: Vreelandella stevensii
Lineage: Bacteria; Pseudomonadati; Pseudomonadota; Gammaproteobacteria; Oceanospirillales; Halomonadaceae
Description: partial 16S ribosomal RNA
Rfam family: Bacterial small subunit ribosomal RNA
Source: RNAcentral